This 464-nucleotide ribosomal RNA is filed under the name uncultured bacterium. RNAcentral describes it as "partial 16S ribosomal RNA". It matches the Rfam family "Bacterial small subunit ribosomal RNA", at positions 28 to 507 of the family's 1533-position model. The record is from RNAcentral.
GACGAACGCUGGCGGCGUGCUUAACACAUGCAAGUCGUACGGUAAGGCCCUUCGGGGGUACACGAGUGGCGAACGGGUGAGUAACACGUGAGUAACCUGCCCACAACUUUGGGAUAAAGCUAGGAAACUGGUGCUAAUACUGGAUAUGUGCUCCUGCUGCAUGGUGGGGGUUGGAAAGCUCCGGCGGUUGUGGAUGGACUCGCGGCCUAUCAGCUUGUUGGUGGGGUAGUGGCCUACCAAGGCGGCGACGGGUAGCCGGCCUGAGAGGGUGACCGGCCACAUUGGGACUGAGAUACGGCCCAGACUCCUACGGGAGGCAGCAGUGGGGAAUAUUGCACAAUGGGCGCAAGCCUGAUGCAGCAACGCCGCGUGCGGGAUGACGGCCUUCGGGUUGUAAACCGCUUUCAGCAGGGACGAAGCUUUUUGUGACGGUACCUGCAGAAGAAGCACCGGCUAACUACGUG